UUUAUCGGAGAGUUUGAUCCUGGCUCAGGACGAACGCUGGCGGCGUGCCUAAUACAUGCAAGUCGAGCGGACAGAUGGGAGCUUGCUCCCUGAUGUUAGCGGCGGACGGGUGAGUAACACGUGGGUAACCUGCCUGUAAGACUGGGAUAACUCCGGGAAACCGGGGCUAAUACCGGAUGCUUGUUUGAACCGCAUGGUUCAAACAUAAA
Molecule: ribosomal RNA, 209 nt
Filed under: Bacillus halotolerans
Lineage: Bacteria; Bacillati; Bacillota; Bacilli; Caryophanales; Bacillaceae
Description: partial 16S ribosomal RNA
Rfam family: Bacterial small subunit ribosomal RNA
Source: RNAcentral